CACCUGCAUAUGAACAAUCACCCCCACCUUCACCAACGUACUCACCUCCUCCACCUACAUACUCUCCACCAUCACCAAUUUACUCGCCUCCUCCACCUGCAUACUCACCACCUCCACCACCAGCACCAACUUUAUCGCCUCUUCCUCCUGCAUACUCACCACCACCAACGUACUCCCCUCCUCCACCUACAUAUUUGUCACCGCCACUAUCACCAAUUUACUCGCCUCCUCCGCCUGUAUACUCACCACCACCACCACUACCAACGUAUUCCCCUCCUCCACCUACAUAUUCGCCACCACCACCCCCGCCACCAUCACCAAUUUAUUCACCUCCUCCACCACCACCAUCCUUCUCACCACCUCCACCCACAUAUGGACAAUCACCUCCACCUCCACCAACAUAUUCCCCUCCUUUUCCUGCAUACUCACCACCACCACCGCCAACAUAUUCUCCUCCUCCACCGACAUACUCGCCUCCUCCACCUGCAUAUGCACAACCACCACCGCCGCCAACAUAUUCUCCUCCUCCACCUGCAUACUCCCCUCCUCCCCCUGUAUAUGCACAACCACCACCACCUCCACCAACAUACUCACCUCCUCCACCUGUAUACUCACCACCACCACCAUCACCAAUUUACUCGCCUCCACCUCCCCAAGUGCAGCUACCACCACCGACUUUCUCUCCUCCUCCUCAUAGGCAGCCACGACCACCUACACCUACACCUACUUAUGGCCAACCACCAUCACCACCGACUUUCUCUCCUCCUCCGCCAAGACGAAUUCACUUGCCGCCUCCUCCUCAUAGGCAACCACGACCACCUACACCUACACCUACUUAUGGCCAACCACCACCACCACCACCUCCACCAACAUACUCACCUCCUCCACCUAUAUACUCACCACCACCACCAUUACCAAUUUACUCGCCUCCACCUCCCCAAGUGCAGCCACCACCACCGACUUUCUCUCCUCCUCCGCCAAGACGAAUUCACUCGCCUCCUCCUCCUCAUAGGCAGCCACGACCACCUACACCUACACCUACUUAUGGCCAACCACCAUCACCACCGACUUUCUCUCCUCCUCCGCCAAGACGAAUUCACUUGCCUCCUCCUCCUCAUAGGCAGCCACGGCCACCUACACCCACACCUACUUAUGGUCAACCACCAUCACCACCGACUUUCUCUCCUCCUCCGCCAAGACGAAUUCACUCGCCUCCUCCUCCUCAUAGGCAGCCACGGCCACCUACACCCACACCUACUUAUGGUCAACCACCAUCACCACCGACUUUCUCUCCUCCUCCGCCAAGACGAAUUCACUCGCCUCCUCCUCCUCAUAGGCAACCACGACCACGACCACCUACACCUACUUAUGGCCAACCACUACCACCACCACCUCCACCAACAUACUCACCUCCUCCACCUGUAUACUCACCACCACCACCAGUUGAUUUUGUUUGGGCCAACCACCACCACCAACUACAUAUUCACCCCCUUCUCCUCCUCCAUAUGGGCUUCUGCUUAGCACUCCAUAAACUCG
This 1536-nucleotide long non-coding RNA is filed under the name Nicotiana benthamiana. RNAcentral describes it as "long non-coding RNA (NBEN_LNC015982)". The record is from RNAcentral. Lineage: Eukaryota; Viridiplantae; Streptophyta; Magnoliopsida; Solanales; Solanaceae.